GUCUACGGCCACACCGCCCUCGAUACACCGUGUCUCGGAAGUUAAGCAGGGUCAAGCCUUGUUAGAAUGUGGAUGGGAGACCUUGUGGAAAUCCCGAGUGCUGUAGGCU
This 109-nucleotide ribosomal RNA is filed under the name Alligator mississippiensis (American alligator). Lineage: Eukaryota; Metazoa; Chordata; Crocodylia; Alligatoridae. The record is from RNAcentral.